CCUCUCAUUAAUUCUCACAAAAUAGAGAAUUCUUAUUAGUUCCCACCUUUUCUAAAACACUUAUAUUUAUUUCAUUUUAUAAAUUAUUUUUAAUUUUAAUUUGCUUCCUAACCAACAUCAAACUCUCUGCCUCAUUUUAGAUUACUAUACCAACAUCAAAGACUUAACCUCAUUCUAUCUUCAAGCAACAAUCAGCGAACAAAUUAUAAGUGACCUCAAGCAAAAAACAUCAAACUGAAUUCAGGCCAAGUUUUUAUAAUUAUCUGACUCUUUUUUUUUGUUCAUAGUGAAUUUAAGGUUCUUUUUAAAAUCUUGGAGCUGUUUAUAGGAUGCGUUGAAAAAUGGUGAGCCAUGGACUGUGAGUUUUGACAUGAUAUUUAUUUAUUCUAGCUUCUUUUGUGUUCUUAUACUACCUUUGCAGCAGGUUUAUGAAAUGGCAAUGGUGUCAGGCUGAACAAGAAGCUCAAAAGAACAAUUGAGAAGUUUUAAUGAACCGUAUCCAAAUUCAAUUGUUAAUUCCAUAUGUAAUAAUUUGUUUAUCUCUAUCAAUUAAUUGAAUUGUACGGUUCUUAUUCAUUAUA
Molecule: long non-coding RNA, 581 nt
Organism: Mercurialis annua (annual mercury)
Lineage: Eukaryota; Viridiplantae; Streptophyta; Magnoliopsida; Malpighiales; Euphorbiaceae
Exons: 3
Source: RefSeq, a predicted model, not a curated record